CAUUAUCGUACUACAGAGGUGCAAGGGUUGUCGCUGACCUUUCCAAAAGGUCGUGCACGCCCGAGCGCUCUCAAUCCAUUUCACCCCUUGUGCAUCACCGCGCGGGGUCGCUCCCUCUUGGCUUGCUUCGAGAGGGGGAGGCUCGCGUUUUUCACACAUAAACACCCUUCUAGUUUAGAAUGUCAUUCAUUUGCGAUCACACGCAAUCAAUACAACUUUCAACAACGGAUCUCUUGGCUCUCGCAUCGAUGAAGAACGCAGCGAAAUGCGAUACGUAAUGUGAAUUGCAGAAUUCAGUGAAUCAUCGAAUCUUUGAACGCAUCUUGCGCCCCUUGGUAUUCCGAGGGGCACACCCGUUUGAGUGUCGUGAAAUUCUCAAACCUUCUUGGUUUCUCGAUCAAGAUGGCUUUGGACUUUGGAGGCAUUUUGCUGGCUUUGCGAAAAGCCAGCUCCUCUUAAAUACAUUAGUGGGGUCCCCUUUGCCGAUCCCCAGGCGUGAUAAGAUGUUUCUACGUCUUGGGAUUUGCUCUGUUCCUUGGGAACCCGCUUAUAACCGUCUCAUGGGAGACAUCGUUCGAGCAUGCUCGACCCACGAACCUUGACCUCAAAUCGGGUGAGACUACCCGCUGAACUUAAGCAUAUCA
This 644-nucleotide ribosomal RNA is filed under the name uncultured Russula. Its description in RNAcentral is "eukaryotic LSU rRNA". The stretch from base 214 to 367 matches the Rfam family "5.8S ribosomal RNA". Lineage: Eukaryota; Fungi; Basidiomycota; Agaricomycetes; Russulales; Russulaceae. The record is from RNAcentral.